UAAUCGCGGAUCAGCAUGCCGCGGUGAAUACGUUCUCGGUCCUUGUACACACCGCCCGUCACACCAUGGAAGUGGAUUGCACCAGAAGUAGAUAGUCUAACCUUAGGGAGGGCGUUUACCACGGUGUGCUUCAUGACUGGGGUGAAGUCGUAACAAGGUAGCCGUAGGGGAACCUGUGGCUGGAUCACCUCCUU
RNAcentral lists this ribosomal RNA (194 nucleotides) under uncultured bacterium. Its description in RNAcentral is "partial 16S ribosomal RNA". It matches the Rfam family "Bacterial small subunit ribosomal RNA", at positions 1339 to 1532 of the family's 1533-position model. The record is from RNAcentral.